RNAcentral lists this ribosomal RNA (725 nucleotides) under uncultured bacterium. RNAcentral's name for it is "bacterial SSU rRNA". It matches the Rfam family "Bacterial small subunit ribosomal RNA", at positions 8 to 747 of the family's 1533-position model. The record is from RNAcentral.
AGAGUUUGAUCCUGGCUCAGGACGAACGCUGGCGGCGUGCUUAACACAUGCAAGUCGAACGAUGAAGGGGAGCUUGCUCCCUGGAUUAGUGGCGAACGGGUGAGUAACACGUGAGCAACCUGCCCCUAACUCUGGGAUAACGCUUCGAAAGGAGUGCUAAUACCGGAUAUGAGCCUGGAAGACAUCUUCUGGGUUGGAAAGUUUUUCGGUUAGGGAUGGGCUCGCGGCCUAUCAGCUUGUUGGUGAGGUAAAGGCUCACCAAGGCGACGACGGGUAUCCGGCCUGAGAGGGCGACCGGACACACUGGGACUGAGACACGGCCCAGACUCCUACGGGAGGCAGCAGUGGGGAAUAUUGCGCAAUGGGCGAAAGCCUGACGCAGCGACGCCGCGUGAGGGAUGAAGGUCUUCGGAUUGUAAACCUCUUUCAGCAGGGACGAAGCGAAAGUGACGGUACCUGAAGAAGAAGCACCGGCUAACUACGUGCCAGCAGCCGCGGUAAUACGUAGGGUGCAAGCGUUGUCCGGAUUUAUUGGGCGUAAAGAGCUCGUAGGCGGUUAGACACGUCGGAUGUGAAAACUGGGGGCUCAACCCCCAGCCUGCAUUCNNUACGGUCUGACUAGAGUGUGGUAGGGGUAACUGGAAUUCCUGGUGUAGCGGUGAAAUGCGUAGAUAUCAGGAGGAACACCGAUGGCGAAGGCAGGUUACUGGGCCACCACUGACGCU